RNAcentral lists this ribosomal RNA (587 nucleotides) under uncultured bacterium. Its description in RNAcentral is "bacterial SSU rRNA". It matches the Rfam family "Bacterial small subunit ribosomal RNA", at positions 337 to 916 of the family's 1533-position model. The record is from RNAcentral.
UCCUACGGGAGGCAGCAGUGGGGAAUAUUGGACAAUGGGGGCAACCCUGAUCCAGCCAUGCCGCGUGUGUGAAGAAGGCCCUCGGGUUGUAAAGCACUUUCAGCGAAGAAGAACGCCUAGCGGUUAAUACCCGCUAGGAAAGACAUCACUCGCAGAAGAAGCACCGGCUAACUCCGUGCCAGCAGCCGCGGUAAUACGGAGGGUGCAAGCGUUAAUCGGAAUUACUGGGCGUAAAGCGCGCGUAGGUGGCUUGAUAAGCCAGUUGUGAAAGCCCCGGGCUCAACCUGGGAACGGCAUCCGGAACUGUCAAGCUAGAGUGCAGGAGAGGAAGGUAGAAUUCCCGGUGUAGCGGUGAAAUGCGUAGAGAUCGGGAGGAAUACCAGUGGCGAAGGCGGCCUUCUGGACUGACACUGACACUGAGGUGCGAAAGCGUGGGUAGCAAACAGGAUUAGAUACCCUGGUAGUCCACGCCGUAAACGAUGUCGACCAGCCGUUGGGUGCCUAGCGCACUUUGUGGCGAAGUUAACGCGAUAAGUCGACCGCCUGGGGAGUACGGCCGCAAGGUUAAAACUCAAAUGAAUUGACGG